UUUUCUUUUUUUUCCCUUUUUUUGAUUUGUCUCGUUCCGACUUCAAAAAAAAAUAAGUCUCCUGAUCUCGUUGAUAACAAUUCGGUUACACCCUCAUAUGACUUCGACAAUCCGAUCUAUCAUGCCCAAGAAGAAGGCGAAGAAGAUUGUGAUCUGCUGGAAGAUUAGCCAGGUUGUUGAAACAAGAGGAGAAGGUGAUUCGGCCGCACGAGGAGCGAGUUGGGAUUGUUAAUCCAGGCACCG
This 243-nucleotide long non-coding RNA is filed under the name Lathyrus oleraceus (garden pea). Its description in RNAcentral is "Pisum sativum (pea) long non-coding RNA (PSAT_LNC034885)". Lineage: Eukaryota; Viridiplantae; Streptophyta; Magnoliopsida; Fabales; Fabaceae. The record is from RNAcentral.